GCUGCUGUUCUAGUUUGAAGGUCAUGGAGCUGAAGACCCAGGGAAAAGUUGGUGCUGCCAUUCAAGUCUGAAUAUCGUGGAGCUGGAGACCCAGAAAGGAACCGGUGCUGCUGUUCUAGUUUGAGGGUCAUGGAGCUGGAGACCAGGGGAAGAGCCGGAUUGCUGUCGAAGUCUGAGGGUCGUGGAGCUGGAGACGUGGGGAGAAGCUGGUGUUGCCAUUCAAGUCUGAAGAUAGGAGAGCUGGAGACCCAGAAAGGAGCUGGUGCUGCUGUUCAAGUCUGAGGGUCAUGGAGCUGGAGACCCAGAAAGGAAAUGGUGCUACUCUUCGAGUUUGAGGGUCAUGGAGCUAGAGACUGGGGGAGGAGCUACCGUUCGAGUGGCGGCUCCCUGGGUCUCCAGCUCCAAGAUGCUCAAACUUGAACAGCGGUAGCACCAGCUCCUCCCCGGGUCUCCAGUUCCAUGACCCUCAGACUUGAAGAGUAGCACCAUUGCCUUUCUGGGUCUCCAGCUCCAUGAUCCUCAGACUUGAGGAGCUGGAGACCCAGGGAGGAGCCGGUGCUGCUGUUCCUGUUUGAGGGUCAUGGAGCUGGAGACCUGGGGAGAAGCUGGUGCUGCUGUUCAAGUCUGAAGAUAGUGGAGCUGGAGACCCAGAAAGGAGUUGGCACUGCUGUUCAAGUCUGAGGGUCGUGGAGCUGGAGACCCAGAAAGGAAAUGGUGCUAGUCUUCAAGUUUGAUGGUCAUGGAGCUGGAGAUAUGGGGAGGAGUCAGUGCUGCUGUUCUAGUUUGAGGGUCUGGGAUCUGGUGACCCGGGGAGGAGCCAGUGCUGCAGUUCAGGUUUGAGGGUCAUGGAGGUGCUGACCCAGGGAGGAGCUGGUGCUGCUUUUUAAAUUUGAGGGUCGUGGAGCUGGGGAUCUGGGGAAAAGCCAGUGCUGCUGUUUUAUUUUCAGGGUCACGGAGCUAAAGACCCGGGAAGGAGCUGGUACUGCAGUUCAAGUUUGAGGUUCGUGGAGCUGGAUAUCUGGGCAGGAGUCAGUGCUCCUGUUCUAGUUUGAGGGUCUGUAGCUGGGGACCUCUGGAGGAGCCGGUGCUGUUGUUUAAGGUUUGUGGAGCUGGAGACCUGGGUGGAGCUGUUGCUGCGGUUCAAGCUUGAGGGUCAUGGAGCUGGAGACCUGGCAAGAAGUCAGUGCUGCUGUUCUAGUUUGAGAGUCUUGGAGCUGGUGACCUGGGUAGGAGCCGGUCUGCUGUUCUAGUUUUAGGGUCUUGGAGUUGGUGACCUGGGGAGGAGCAGGUGUUGCUGUAAUAGUUAGGGUCGUGAAACUGAACACCUGGGGAGGAGCCAGUGCUGCUGUUCACAUUUGAGGGUCAUGGGAGCUGGAGACUUUGUGGCGAGCUAGUGCUGCCAUUCAAGUUUGAUGAUGGUGGAGCUGGAGACCUGGGUUGGAGCCAGUUCUGCUUUUUAAAUUUGAAGGUCAUGAGGCUGGAGACCUGGGCAGGAAUUGGUGCUGCUGUUCAAGUAUAAGGGUCAUGGAGCUGGAGACUCAGGAAGGAUCAAGUGCUGCAGUUCACGUGUCGUGGAGCUGGAGACCCGGGGAGGAACGGGUGCCCCAGUUCAAGUUUGAGGGUCAUGAAGCUGGAGACACAGGGAGGAGCAACAGUUUGAGGGAUGAGUGGCUGGAGACCUGGAGAGGAGCCAGUGUUGCAAUUCAAGUUUGAGUUUCAUGGAGCUGGAAACCUGGACAGGAGUCAGUGUGGCUAUUCUAGUUUGAAAGUCUUGGAGCUGGUGACCUGGACAGGAGUCAGUGUGGCUAUUCUAGUUUGAGAGUCUUGGAGCUGGUGACCUGGGCAGGAGUCAGUGCUGCUGUUCUGGUUUGAGGGUCUUGGAGCUGGUGACCUGGGCAGGAGUCAGUGCUGCUGUUCUGGUUUGAGGAUCUUGGAGCUGGUGAGCCAGGGAGGAGCUGGUGCUGCUGUUGUAGUUAGUGUCGGGGAGCUGGAGACUUUGGGUUGAGCCGCUGUUGUAGUUCAAGUUUGAUGUUCCUGGAGAUGGAGAUUGGUGGUGGGGGGGAGUCAGUGUUUCUUUUCUAGUUUCAAGGUCGUGGAGCUGGAGAACUGGAGAGGAGAUGGUGCUGCUAUUCUAGUUUGAGGGUCUGUAGCUGGGGACCUGCAGAGGAGCUGGUGCUGCUAUUUUAGUUUAAGGUCCCUGGAGCUGGAGACCUGGGCGGAGCUGUUGCUGUAGUUCCAGUGUGAGGGUCGUGGAGCUGGAGACCUGGUGAGAAAUCAGUGCUGCUGUUCUAGUUUAACAGUCUUGGAGCUGGUGUCCUGAGUAGGAGCCGGUCUGCUGUUCUAGUUUUAGGGUCUUGGAGCUGGCAACCUGGGGAGGAGCGGGUGUUGCUGUAAGAGUUAGGGUUGUGAAGCUGAAGACCUGGGGAGGAGCCAAUGCUGCUCUUCAUGUUUUAGGGUCGUGGGGCUGGAGACUUUGGGAGGAGCUAGUGCUGCCGUUCAAGUUUGACGAUGGUGGAGCUGGAGACCUGGGUUAGAGCCAGGGCUGCUUUUUAAAUUUGAGGUUCGUGGAGCUGGAGACCUAGAGAGGAGCUGGUGCUGCUGUUUUAUUUUCAGGGUCAUGGAUCAUGAGACCCAGGAAGGAGCUGGUGCUGGAGUUCAAGUUGGAGGCGUGGAGAUGGAGACUUUGGUUGGAGCUGGUGCUGCUGUUCUAGUUUGAGGGUCGUGAAGCUGGAGAACCAGGGAGGAGGUGGUGCUGCAGUUCAAGUUUGAGGUUCAUGGAGCUGGAAACCUGGGCAGGCGUCAGUGCUGCUGUACUAGUUUGAGAGUCUUGGAGCUGGUGACCUGCAGAGGAGCUGGUGCUGCUAUUACAGUUAGCAUCCUGGAGCUGGAGAAUUUGGGUGGAGCCAGUGUUGCAACUCAAGUUUGAUGGUCGUGGAGAUGGAGACCUGGGAUUGGGGAGCCAGUGUUGCUAUUGUAGUUUGAGGGUCGUGGAGCUGGAGACGCGGGAAGGAGUUGGUACUGAAGUUUAACUUUGAGGUUCGUGGAGCUGGAUAUGUGGGCAGAAGUCAGUGCUCCUGUUUAGUUUGAGGGUCUGUAGCUGGGGACCUGGGGAGGAGCAAGUGCUGCAGUUCAAGUUUAAGGGUCGUGGAGUUGGAGAUUUGGCGAGAAGUUAAGGCUGCUGUUCUAGUUUGAGAGUCUCGGAGCUGGUGACCUGGGUAGAAGCUGGUCUGCUGUUCUAGUUUUAGAGUCUUGGAGCUGUUGACCCCGGAAGAGCGGGUGGUGCUGUUAUAGUUAGGGUCGUGAAGCUGAAGACCAGGGGAGGAGCCGGUGCUGCUGUUUGAGAGUGGCGGAUAUUGAGACUCGGGGAGGAGCGGGUGCUGGAGUUCUAGUUUGAGGUGGGGAGCUGGAGACUUUGGGUGGAGCUGGUGCUGCUGUAGUUUGAGGGUCUGUAGAUGGGGACCUCGGGAGGAGCUGGUGCUGCUGUUUUAGUUUAAGGUGUGGAGCUGGAGACUUUAGGUGGAGCUGGUGCUGCUGUUCUUCUUGUUUGAGGGUCUGUAGCUGGGGACCUGGGGAGGAGCCAGUGCUGCUGUUUUCGUUUAAGGUCUGUGGAGCCGGAGACCCAGGAAGGAGCUGGUGG
Molecule: long non-coding RNA, 3637 nt
Filed under: Homo sapiens (human)
Lineage: Eukaryota; Metazoa; Chordata; Mammalia; Primates; Hominidae
Description: HSALNT0268248
Source: RNAcentral